RNAcentral lists this unclassified non-coding RNA (410 nucleotides) under fungal sp. RNAcentral's name for it is "partial internal transcribed spacer region". The stretch from base 1 to 46 matches the Rfam family "Eukaryotic small subunit ribosomal RNA", at positions 1786 to 1831 of the family's 1831-position model. Lineage: Eukaryota; Fungi. The record is from RNAcentral.
AAGUUGUAACAAGGUUUCCGUAGGUGAACCUGCGGAAGGAUCAUUAACACGUAUCCUUGGGGAUGCCAGGUCACUAGAUGCAAUCGCUCAACCGUAGCUAUAAAAUAUCACAAUCUGCAGAGGUCCCUGACUCAAAAGCUGGUCUACAAUGAUUUACCAGGGAUUGCUGCUUUCACGGGCUACAGGAGCAAGCUGAAAGUUCACGGGGUUGUUUUAACGUUUAAUCAGUGUGCUGAAAGUGUCAUUGAUUGUGUAAGGAUGGCGCAGUCACGAUCGCUGUAGGCCCACACGGCCGGCGACGGUCACCGGGCUCUGCUCCUUUACGACAACUACAGUCUAACUUCGCCGCGCGUGAAAUUCGCACGGCACCAAAAACCGAACAACUGUUAACAAUGGAUAUCUUGGUUCUC